Molecule: long non-coding RNA, 1326 nt
Organism: Puntigrus tetrazona (Sumatra barb)
Lineage: Eukaryota; Metazoa; Chordata; Actinopteri; Cypriniformes; Cyprinidae
Exons: 3
Source: RefSeq, a predicted model, not a curated record
GACCGAUCACUCUGAAAUAAAACUUUCAGAAGAGGAAACCGAACCAGUGUCUGUGAUCACCCGUGUCCCAAGCUCUGUCCAUCCUUGGUUUGAGAGUUAUGGAGAAGAUGAUGGAGUUUUGUAUGGAGGGGAGCACAUCUUCACUUUCACUCUCCAGGCAUCUGAAGGACAAGACUUUCCCAAAAGGCCCAAAAAACUGUGAUGGACAUUUACUUCCAGUUCAUUUGUUACACCUGUAAUGAAAAAAUGUAUCAAGCACUUGAUAAUGUUAUUUUAGCAACACUUAUGAAUAUUCAGGCUUUUUGAGUAUUCAUUUUUAUUGCUUGCAAACUUUUUUUUACCAUUUUAAAUCACAGAUUUAGAUCAACCGUGCUGUUGUAGGCAACAAAAACAACACUGAGCUUUAGCAAUGUGCAUAAAAACUGGACAAUGGUGACGUAUUUUUGUAGGCCACCCCCCGAAGUCCCUGCUUCCUAUGACCAAAACCUCACUGGACUCUUCCAACUGACUUUUGGACUAUUGCAGAGAAUUGACAAAGGUUUCUAAUUCUUGCAUUUUGUUUAUCGUGAUAAUCUUCACAAAUUGCAAUGAGCAGAAGUAAAAAGCUGUAAGUGUGAGCUAUAAAUGAACUAAACCGUGGUCGCAUGCCUUCACCGUCACCAUCACGAUCUCCUCACGACUGAAGUCUUUAUAAUUAGUCCUUGGGUUUGCUUAGUUUUCUUUGGUUUAAUGCUUUAGAGCAGGGGCGGCAACCUUUUUUAUCAAAAGAGCCACUUUGUUUCAUGUUGCAAAAGUAAGUUUGUCGGGUUGGCGUAGUUUUUCCAUAUCACUCCAUUUGUGCUCUUUAGCGAGAGCAGCCCUCUGACGGGCGACUUCUUCAAGAUCCGCUGACAGGGAUUUGAACUUGUUACCCCCAAAAGCAGAUGCAAAAGCAGAUGUGCACGCUGCAUUAAACUCUCUAUUUUCUUCCGACACUUUUCUUUUUGGGCUCUUUUCAUGCUUACAGUGGUAGGGGUUCCGCGUGGUCCCGCCAGCAAGUAAAGGCGACGACUGCUGACGUUGAUGUGACAUAUAUUUUAAGUGACAAAUUAUAAAAAAAAAAAAACUUUAUUAGAUGGUAUCAACUAAAACCCCAGAGGAUUUGUGCAACAGAGCCGCAGGUUGCCUACCCCUGCUUUAGAGUAUUAAAGCACUUUGGUCCACAUUAAAGGUUCCGAUGUUUAUUUUUUUGUAUUGCCAAUUUACAAACGCUUUUGGGAAUUUUUCAUGUAAAAUGUAUUUUAGAUCAUUAUUUCCUUUGUUAAAUGGCACAGCUGAAACUGUAAG